GACGAACGCUGGCGGCGUGCUUAACACAUGCAAGUCGAACGGAAAGGCCCUGCUUCUGUGGGGUGCUCGAGUGGCGAACGGGUGAGUAACACGUGAGUAACCUGCCCUCCAUUUUGGGAUAAAUUCAGGAAACUGGGGAUAAUAACGGAUAGGAGCUCCCCCUGCAUGGCAGGGGUUGGAAAGUUUCGGCGGUUGGGGAUGGACUCGCGGCUUAUCAGCUUGUUGGUGGGGUAGUGGCUUACCAAGGCUUUGACGGGUCGCCGGCCUGCGAGGGUGACAGGCCACAGUGGGACUGAGAUACCGGCCAGACGCAUACGGGAGGCAGCAGUGAGAGAUAUUGCACACUGGGCGGAGGCAGGAUGCAGCGACGCCGCGUUCGGGAUGACGGCCUUCCGGUUGGAAACCGCUUUCGCCUGUGACGAAGCGUGAGUGACGGUAAUGGAUAAAGAAGCACCGGCUAACUACGUG
RNAcentral lists this ribosomal RNA (468 nucleotides) under uncultured bacterium. RNAcentral describes it as "partial 16S ribosomal RNA". It matches the Rfam family "Bacterial small subunit ribosomal RNA", at positions 28 to 507 of the family's 1533-position model. The record is from RNAcentral.